RNAcentral lists this ribosomal RNA (525 nucleotides) under uncultured bacterium. RNAcentral's name for it is "bacterial SSU rRNA". It matches the Rfam family "Bacterial small subunit ribosomal RNA", at positions 8 to 526 of the family's 1533-position model. The record is from RNAcentral.
AGAGUUUGAUCAUGGCUCAGGAUGAACGCUGGCGGCAUGCCUAAUACAUGCAAGUCGAACGAGAGACCUUCGGGUCUCUAGUGGCGAACGGGUGAGUAACACGUAGGGAACCUGCCCGCGCACCGGGAAUACGCUCUGGAAACGGAGAACAAAUCCCGAUGUACAGGAAGGAGGCAUCUUCUUUCUGUGAAACAUCCUUUAGGGGAUGGGGCGCGGAUGGACCUGCGGUGCAUUAGUUGGUUGGCGGGGUAAAGGCCCACCAAGACGAUGAUGCAUAGCCGGCCUGAGAGGGCGGACGGCCACAUUGGGACUGAGACACGGCCCAGACUCCUGCGGGAGGCAGCAGUAGGGAAUUUUCGUCAAUGGGCGCAAGCCUGAACGAGCGAUGCCGCGUGAGUGAAGAAGGCCUUCGGGUCGUAAAGCUCUGUUGCGGGGGAAAAAAGGCAGCAUCAGGAAAUGGGUGCUGACUGAUGGUGCCCCGCCAGAAAGUCACGGCUAACUACGUGCCAGCCGCCGCGGUAAUAC